UUGGUGUCCAUGUGUCCUGCUGCAGGUGUUGCCGCUUCUGAAGCGAUGGAGAGGAGCAACGGAUGAUAGCUUGGGGAUACUUGAUAGCUAAGAUCACGUGUGCACAGAUGAACUGCAAAUGACAAUCAAUUAGGAAGUUUGGACAUUUGCUGCAAGCUGUUAGCCAUCGUGGCCCGAAGCACCAGAGACUUUCAUUGAGCUCCUCAAAUCACUAGCUGAUGAGGGAAGCAGGGGUACAUGGAUGCUAGGAUGGAGGCAACAAAGAAUUGUUCUCA
Molecule: long non-coding RNA, 275 nt
Organism: Lolium rigidum
Lineage: Eukaryota; Viridiplantae; Streptophyta; Magnoliopsida; Poales; Poaceae
Exons: 3
Source: RefSeq, a predicted model, not a curated record